RNAcentral lists this ribosomal RNA (497 nucleotides) under uncultured bacterium. Its description in RNAcentral is "partial 16S ribosomal RNA". It matches the Rfam family "Bacterial small subunit ribosomal RNA", at positions 28 to 507 of the family's 1533-position model. The record is from RNAcentral.
GAUGAACGCUGGCGGCGUGCCUAAUACAUGCAAGUCGAGCGAACGGACGAGAAGCUUGCUUCUCUGAUGUUAGCGGCGGACGGGUGAGUAACACGUGGAUAACCUACCUAUAAGACUGGGAUAACUUCGGGAAACCGGAGCUAAUACCGGAUAAUAUUUUGAACUGCAUGGUUCAAAAGUGAAAGACGGUCUUGCUGUCACUUAUAGAUGGAUCCGCGCUGCAUUAGCUAGUUGGUAAGGUAACGGCUUACCAAGGCAACGAUGCAUAGCCGACCUGAGAGAGUGAUCGGCCACACUGGAACUGAGACGCGGUCCAGACUCCUACGGGAGGCAGCAGUAGGGAAUCUUCCGCAAUGAGCGAAAGCCUGACGGAGCAACGCCGCGUGAGUGAUGAAGGUCUUCGGAUCGUAAAACUCUGUUAUUAGAGAAGAACAUAUGUGUAAGUAACUGUGCACAUCUUGACGGUACCUAAACAGAAAGCCACGGCUAACUACAUG